CAGAAUAUAGUUAGUUGUUAAAUAGGUUGUUGUGAUUAAGGUGUUUUGUUUAUUAAAUAAAUAAAUAAUUACUCCGUCAAAUAAAUAUUAUUUGGCGUAUAUUUUCCGUUUUAUGACAAUAUCAAAAUACAGAAUGAAAAUUAAACUUUGUUGUUCGUAUGUGUGUCUAAACGGUCAAAAUGAGAAGAUAAUAAUAAUUAUUUUAUCGCCGCAGGGUUGGACCGGUUUUCGUCACCCGCGGUCACUCGGCGUCGCGCGACCUGUCGGACGAGGAGAGGCAGCUGUGUCGCAGUCGCUAUCCAACGGUAAAGCCGGAAGUGCAAUGCGACCGCGUCAAGGUGUAGAUGAGAAGUUUCUUUAACUAGUAUUAUUUAAUAAAAUAUAUGAGACUCUUUGUGAUUGAGUUACUACUAAACAAAAUAAAUUAUCUCUGACGGGAUGGGAAUAAAAGGGUUCAUCAAAAACAGACCUGAACUAAACUUACGAAUAGUCAAGAUUUGUUAGAAUAUUUGUGUAAGUGAAUGCAAUAAAAAUAUAGACUAUACAUUUCUUAGCGUAUAAUAGUUGAAGAAAACUCAACAAUAAUUAUUCUAUAGACCUGAGGUUUCAUGUGUGAAUUAGGAUUUUAUAAUAUGAAGGUAGUUGAAUUUGAAUAAAUUUUAACUCUGAAUAAAUUCUAGUUUUCACUUCCAGGCCUUGAUAAUCGAGUUGAGUAAAAAAGAGAAUGCUUGAUCGAUUUGUACGCGAACGGACUACUGGCAAUAAUUUUUGAGAGAGUUUUUAUGGAAAUAUUUUAAUUAGAAUAAUUUUUGUGAAAGAUCUCGAUUUUCAAGAGACACCAUCUGUGAUGAAUUAAUUAGUUUUCGCAAUAAAGUUUUGAACCAUAUCCUCAUAUCCAGACACAUAUUAAAUUUUUAAAAAUAAUAUAGUGACUAAUAUUGAGUUUUUAUUUAAAAACAGCAAACUCCAAUAAAAUUAACUAGUCAUAUCUAAGGUUGUACAUUUAAAUCAAUUCGUAGAAAAAUAAUUAACGCCCACGUUUUGCAACUGAAAUAUUGGAAUCCAAAUAAGAGCGCACAACGAAUUUAUGAAAAUAUUUUUUAACAUAAUGUAUGUAUAUUUUAGCAUGUUUAAUUAUGAUAUUACAAUAUAUUUUCGUAUUUGAAAAGUUAUUAAUGAAAAAAUGUUAAAAAAGAACCUAUUGAAAAAAAUAUGCAGGAUAAAACUUUAUUUUGAAAUAGUAAGAGCAUGAAAUUAAUUGAACUUUAUCUAAAUGGUCUAUAGUUACUAAAAUGCAAAUGCUUAAAUUCUUCUUUUUUAGAUAUUUUUAUUUGAAUUUUCACUAUCUGCGCGGAAUGAACUAUCCACUUGAAAUAACCACUAUAGUAGUUACUUUGAUAUAAAACUACUGUUAAUAUAAUGUAUUUUAUAUGAAUAUAUAUAGAGUGUUAAAAUAUUAAGGAAGCAAGUCAAUUGUCACAAUAAAUUAUAAAGAAGAACAAAAAUAAGAUUAUAUCAGACCCUUGUUAGACCAACUGUAUUGUGUGCCUGUGGUGUAUGGGAUCUAAAAAAUCUGCCGAAAAAAAAUUAAUGAUUUUCGAAAGAUACUUCAACUAAAAAGGUAUUACCAUGUGUGCAGACUUUCGAACAAAGGAUUGUAUUGCCCAGAAGGCUGAUGUUAAAUCGAAGAUCAUGUCUUACUGCAAAAGUAUUCAAGGAGUAUUGUUUCGUUGAUGGGUUCUAUAAUGAUUACCACUCAUGUUUCACAAUUGAACUUAAGGAAGUUUAGUAAAGAAGGUGAGUAGAAGCACACUAUUCUGUUAUCUAAGACGCUAAAUCCUGCUGAAAAUGAAAUUAUGAUAUACCAACUUCUGCGGGCGAAGAAGAAAUAUAGAAAAUUUUUUUAAAAUUGAGCUCAUGGAAGUUUAGUAAAAAAGAUGAUGAAGAAGGACUCUGUUGAUCGUGAUGACAAAGAUUUUAUUUUAUUGUAGUUUUGAAAUGUGCAUUUUUAAACAUUCUGUAAUAAUUUGUCGUGUCUUAUAAGUGAAAUCGUGACAUUAUUUAUAUUGAUGUAUAAUUUUAUCAUAACAUAAAUCUGUAUUCUUAUU
Molecule: long non-coding RNA, 2108 nt
Organism: Daktulosphaira vitifoliae (grape phylloxera)
Lineage: Eukaryota; Metazoa; Arthropoda; Insecta; Hemiptera; Phylloxeridae
Exons: 3
Source: RefSeq, a predicted model, not a curated record